This is a long non-coding RNA of Hypomesus transpacificus, 485 nucleotides long. RefSeq lists it as uncharacterized. The record is from RefSeq and is a predicted model, not a curated record. The transcript is spliced from 5 exons. Lineage: Eukaryota; Metazoa; Chordata; Actinopteri; Osmeriformes; Osmeridae.
CUGUCUUGUCGCCAUGUUUGUGUAUAUAUUUUCGGUUCUGGGUAUCUAGAAGAAUAGCGCCUUCGAGUGGCGGUUUCGAGGGGAGGAGUAUGGAUAACAAAUGUCUCAAGAAAAACAUGCCACAAGAGCUCAGCAGGAAACCAUCCAAGAUUGAUCACAUACCAUAUCAUGACAAUUCUCCAGCUAAGAAGAAAAAGGCACCUGGUAGUAACACAGCAACGUCAGAUUCCUCUGGUUUAUUUGAUGGAGCACUUGCCAGUGCCAAUAAAGAGAUGAACGUGCUGUUUUCCCAGUACUCACAAGCCUUAAGUGAGAGGGCAGCAGGGGAUGCCUCACAGGUCAGACAGCUGGAGGACAUUCUGAUGGAGGCUAGGGGCCUGGAGGCUCAUCUGAAGGAGAAAAAAGACCAUUUGAGACGGACGCUAGCUCUCAUUUCUGACAAACUGCAGAGCUAGACACUGUAUACAGGCUUCACCUACCACAAC